This 899-nucleotide ribosomal RNA is filed under the name Colletotrichum godetiae. RNAcentral describes it as "LSU rRNA". It matches the Rfam family "Eukaryotic large subunit ribosomal RNA", at positions 35 to 965 of the family's 3401-position model. The record is from RNAcentral. Lineage: Eukaryota; Fungi; Ascomycota; Sordariomycetes; Glomerellales; Glomerellaceae.
UAAGCAUAUCAAUAAGCGGAGGAAAAGAAACCAACAGGGAUUGCCCCAGUAACGGCGAGUGAAGCGGCAACAGCUCAAAUUUGAAAUCUGGCCCCAGGCCCGAGUUGUAAUUUGCAGAGGAUGCUUUUGGCGCGGUGCCUUCCGAGUUCCCUGGAACGGGACGCCAUAGAGGGUGAGAGCCCCGUACGGUUGGACACCAAGCCUUUGUAAAGCUCCUUCGACGAGUCGAGUAGUUUGGGAAUGCUGCUCUAAAUGGGAGGUACAUUUCUUCUAAAGCUAAAUAUUGGCCAGAGACCGAUAGCGCACAAGUAGAGUGAUCGAAAGAUGAAAAGCACUUUGAAAAGAGGGUUAAACAGCACGUGAAAUUGUUAAAAGGGAAGCGCUUGUGACCAGACUUGCGUCCGGUGAAUCACCCAGCUCUCGCGGCUGGGGCACUUCGCCGGCACAGGCCAGCAUCAGCUUGCCGUCGGGGACAAAAGCUUCAGGAACGUGGCUCCUCUCGGGGAGUGUUAUAGCCUGUUGCAUAAUACCCUUCGGCGGGCUGAGGUACGCGCUCCGCAAGGAUGCUGGCGUAAUGGUCAUCAGCGACCCGUCUUGAAACACGGACCAAGGAGUCAACCUUAUGUGCGAGUGUUUGGGUGUUAAACCCCUACGCGUAAUGAAAGUGAACGCAGGUGAGAGCUUCGGCGCAUCAUCGACCGAUCCUGAUGUUCUCGGAUGGAUUUGAGUAAGAGCAUAUAGGGUUGGACCCGAAAGAAGGUGAACUAUGCGUGUGUAGGGUGAAGCCAGAGGAAACUCUGGUGGAGGCUCGCAGCGGUUCUGACGUGCAAAUCGAUCGUCAAACAUGCGCAUGGGGGCGAAAGACUAAUCGAACCUUCUAGUAGCUGGUUUCCGCCGAG